AGAGCGAACGCUGGCGGAAUGCUUAACACAUGCAAGUCGCACGGGCAGCAAUGUCAGUGGCGGACGGGUGAGUAUCGCGUAGGAAUAUGUCCGGAGGUGGGGGACAACCCUGGGAAACUGGGGCUAAUACCGCAUAUGAGCUGAGGCUCAAAGCAGUGAUGCGCCUUUGGAGUAGCCUGCGUCCGAUUAGCUUGUUGGUGGGGUAAAGCCUACCAAGGCGACGAUCGGUAGCUGGUCUGAGAGGACGACCAGCCACACUGGGACUGAGACACGGCCCAGACUCCUACGGGAGGCAGCAGUGGGGAAUAUUGGACAAUGGGCGCAAGCCUGAUCCAGCAAUUCCGCGUGGGUGAAGAAGGUCUUCGGGAUUGUAAAGCCCUUUCGACGGGACGAUGAUGACGGUACCCGUAGAAGAAGCCCGGCUAACUUCGUGCCAGCAGCCGC
Molecule: ribosomal RNA, 444 nt
Filed under: uncultured soil bacterium
Lineage: Bacteria
Description: bacterial SSU rRNA
Rfam family: Bacterial small subunit ribosomal RNA
Source: RNAcentral